UGUACUGAAUGUUGUAGUAUAAAUAGUUAACUUUGAAACUGCGAAUGGCUCAUUAUAUCAGUUAUAGUUUAUUUGAUGAAGAAUACUAAUUGGAUAACCGUAGUAAUUCUAGAGCUAAUACAUGUAUAAAGUCUUGUAGACUGCAUUUAUUAGAAUGAAAACCAUAGGUUUCGGCCUAUUCGUGAGUAAUAAUAACUAAUCAUAUCGUAUGCUUACGUAACGAUGUGUCUUUCAAGUUUCUGCCCUAUCAGCUUUCGAUGGUAGUGUAUUGGACUACCAUGGCAGUAACGGGUAACGAAGAAAAA
This 305-nucleotide ribosomal RNA is filed under the name Blastocystis sp. subtype 16. RNAcentral describes it as "bacterial SSU rRNA". It matches the Rfam family "Eukaryotic small subunit ribosomal RNA", at positions 55 to 372 of the family's 1831-position model. The record is from RNAcentral. Lineage: Eukaryota; Bigyra; Opalinata; Blastocystidae.